GCCCAUGUAGCUCAGUGGUAGAGCACUCCCUUGGUAAGGGAGAGGUCGGCAGUCCGAUCCUGCCCAUGGGCACCA
This 75-nucleotide transfer RNA is filed under the name Accumulibacter sp. RNAcentral describes it as "tRNA-Thr". It matches the Rfam family "tRNA". Rfam says of the family: Transfer RNA (tRNA) molecules are approximately 80 nucleotides in length. The record is from RNAcentral. Lineage: Bacteria; Pseudomonadati; Pseudomonadota; Betaproteobacteria.